Molecule: unclassified non-coding RNA, 263 nt
Filed under: plant metagenome
Description: partial contains small subunit ribosomal RNA, internal transcribed spacer 1, and 5.8S ribosomal RNA
Source: RNAcentral
UUUCCGUAGGUGAACCUGCGGAAGGAUCAUUAUUGUAUAACCGAGGUGCGAGGGCUGUCGCUGACCCGAAACGUCGCGCAAGCACGAGUGCCCCCAUACCCAUCCAUCUCACCCCUAUGUGCACCACCGCGUGUGUCGCCCUUUGGUUUUUUCGGUGGGGGGCUUACGUACUCACGCAAACUUCAUAUGCUGUGUAGAAUGUAAUUUUUGUUUUGGCAAUCACGCAAUCAAUACAACUUUCAACAACGGAUCUCUUGGCUCUC